GCAGGCAUAGUUUAAUGGCAAAACAUCAGCUUCCCAAGCUGAGGUUGCGAGUUCGAUUCUCGUUGCCUGCU
Molecule: transfer RNA, 71 nt
Filed under: Hydrogenoanaerobacterium saccharovorans
Lineage: Bacteria; Bacillati; Bacillota; Clostridia; Eubacteriales; Oscillospiraceae
Rfam family: tRNA
About the family: Transfer RNA (tRNA) molecules are approximately 80 nucleotides in length. Their secondary structure includes four short double-helical elements and three loops (D, anti-codon, and T loops).
Source: Rfam by way of RNAcentral